This 64-nucleotide transfer RNA is filed under the name Sternochetus gravis. Its description in RNAcentral is "tRNA-Thr". It matches the Rfam family "tRNA". Rfam says of the family: Transfer RNA (tRNA) molecules are approximately 80 nucleotides in length. Lineage: Eukaryota; Metazoa; Arthropoda; Insecta; Coleoptera; Curculionidae. The record is from RNAcentral.
GUUUUAAUAAUUUAAGUAAAAUAUUGGUCUUGUAAACCAACAAUAAGAUAAUUCUUUUAAAACU